UACGAAGGGGGCUAGCGUUGCUCGGAAUGACUGGGCGUAAAGGGCGCGUAGGCGGAUGGCUUUGUCGGGCGUGAAAUUCCAGGGCUUAACCUUGGGGCUGCGUUCGAGACGGGUUGUCUUGAGUGGGGAAGAGGGUCGUGGAAUUCCCAGUGUAGAGGUGAAAUUCGUAGAUAUUGGGAAGAACACCGGUGGCGAAGGCGGCGACCUGGUCUUUUACUGACGCUGAGGCGCGAAAGCGUGGGGAGCAAACAGG
This 253-nucleotide ribosomal RNA is filed under the name uncultured bacterium. RNAcentral's name for it is "partial 16S ribosomal RNA". It matches the Rfam family "Bacterial small subunit ribosomal RNA", at positions 524 to 776 of the family's 1533-position model. The record is from RNAcentral.